Molecule: long non-coding RNA, 1669 nt
Filed under: Sus scrofa (pig)
Lineage: Eukaryota; Metazoa; Chordata; Mammalia; Artiodactyla; Suidae
Description: lncRNA (ENSSSCG00070004832.1)
Source: RNAcentral
AUGGAUCCUGGUCAGGUUCGUUACCACGGAGCCACGACGGGGAGUCCCCUGACCCAUUCUGUACCAGGCAGAGCGGACGCUAAAACAACCUGUAAGAAUGUGAAAAGGUUGUGUGACUGGACGUCCCUCUUGCUUGCUUUAUUUGGAAGCAUAAGCAGAGUGGCAUCCCGUCGUGCCCCAGCCUGGGCUGUGCCCGCAGCGCCCGGAAGCUCAAAAUGGAGGCCAGAAGCCAAGUCCACCAGUCACCCCGACUGCAAAUGGGCUGGGGCGCCAUCCCUGGCAUCCUGGGGUCCUUCCGCUGCAGCUCAGCCUUCACGUUCACAGCCAGGACCUCCGGGCAAGGGCUGGAGGUGGAGACAGGGCGGCGCCUGGGCUCGCUUUUCACACCAGAAGUUACAUAACAGAGCAAAACUUGGACUGGCCCGUGUCCCGGGAGACCUCCAGCUUGUUUCUGUCCCGGACAAGGAUGGCCUCGUUCCCGUACUGAGAGUACCACAUGCUUCGGCUCCGGCUCAGGGAAACGUAAGAGGAGCCUCGGAGCAUGUUCUGAAGAGACACCCAAGAACCACACGAGAGAUGACAGCAAGCAGAUCAGCAGUGUCCUGGCCACAGUUUCCUGGGGACAGUCAGGUAUGCCCUUUAUUAGGACAAUGCACCCUCCUGGGGGGGGGGUCUUGUCAGGUGUCCACUGCAAUUCUGAUACCACCCCUUGGACCGCUUAACUUGAAAAGAUGGAUCUGAAGGGAUGCUGUCCAGCGAGGCGGAAGUCGACAGCAGCUGCUCCAAGUGGCCUCUGCUGCUCUGUGCUUGGGCCGGCUUUCAGCACAGCACAGGCGCUCUGAUUCUUGCCAGGAAUCUGGAACCAGCAUGUGUUCUGUGCUUUUUUUUUUUCCCUCUCCCCUGGCUGGUCUUCAGCUCUUCCCAAGGGGUUGCUACAAAGAAAUGAACACGCUGUCAUGUUGGGGAGGAAAGGGCCAUGGUGGCAACAGCAGGUUCUCAACGCUCUGGGGAUAAGAGCGUUAAGCCCAGCUACCAACACAUUUCACCACUUCAAGGGCGCCCUGGUGAGGCAGACCCUGGGACUGGGUUUAAGGGGUAGGUGCUUCAAUCCCAGAUCUUUUAUUGGCUAAGAACUGGGGGAUCUGGGGGAAAGGCUUGUUGGGGUGUUAGCAUCUGGAUCCGACAGGGCACGGGUCGCGGGGCUCAGAACUGACCUGCCCAUGAUAGGGGUACACCAGCGCCUUCUGCCGCAAGCAUCCGGGAGGCCGCUGGACCAGAAAGAAAAAUGACGUCAGGCAAAACCCAAACAGCGCAGCAUCCACAGCUGCCCCCCGCCCCAUGCUUUCGCAGCCAAGCAAGCUCACUUCUCCUUGCGUGUGGCCUGUGCCCCGUCGCCCAGCCCCGUUCCCACUACCUGCGGCCGCUGAACCCCGGUGGACCGGCCCACGCCCAGGAUGCCCCCACAGCACGCCCCCACUGCCUCCCCAGCAUCCCGCCCUCCCCCAACGCCGCCCCCGUCACCUAACCCGCGCCCCCCCGCCCCCGUCGUCGCCGCCCGGGCCACCCGCGCGGUGCGGCCUCAGGGAUGCGCUGGCCGCCCGACGGGGCGGUGCCAGCUGGCCGCGGGUCCGCGUCUCCAUGGCAGCGCCGCAGGCAUGCCGAGCCGAGC